This 1314-nucleotide ribosomal RNA is filed under the name 'Nasturtium officinale' phytoplasma. RNAcentral's name for it is "16S ribosomal RNA". It matches the Rfam family "Bacterial small subunit ribosomal RNA", at positions 217 to 1533 of the family's 1533-position model. Lineage: Bacteria; Bacillati; Mycoplasmatota; Mollicutes; Acholeplasmatales; Acholeplasmataceae. The record is from RNAcentral.
GCUUAGGGAAGAGCUUGCGUCACAUUAGUUAGUUGGUGGGGUAAUGGCCUACCAAGACGAUGAUGUGUAGCCGGGCUGAGAGGUCGAACGGCCACAUUGGGACUGAGACACGGCCCAAACUCCUACGGGAGGCAGCAGUAAGGAAUUUUCGGCAAUGGAGGAAACUCUGACCGAGCAAUGCCGCGUGAACGAUGAAGUAUUUCGGUACGUAAAGUUCUUUUAUUAGGGAAGAAAAGAUGGUGGAAAAACCAUUAUGACGGUACCUAAUGAAUAAGCCCCGGCUAACUAUGUGCCAGCAGCCGCGGUAAUACAUAGGGGGCAAGCGUUAUCCGGAAUUAUUGGGCGUAAAGGGUGCGUAGGCGGUUAAAUAAGUUUAUGGUCUAAGUGCAACGCUCAACGUUGUGAUGCUAUAAAAACUGUUUAGCUAGAGUUGGAUAGAGGCAAGUGGAAUUCCGUGUGUAGUGGUAAAAUGCGUAAAUAUACGGAGGAACACCAGAAGCGAAGGCGGCUUGCUGGGUCUUAACUGACGCUGAGGCACGAAAGCGUGGGGAGCAAACAGGAUUAGAUACCCUGGUAGUCCACGCCCUAAACGAUGAGUACUAAACGUUGGAUAAAACCAGUGUUGAAGUUAACACAUUAAGUACUCCGCCUGAGUAGUACGUACGCAAGUAUGAAACUUAAAGGAAUUGACGGGACUCCGCACAAGCGGUGGAUCAUGUUGUUUAAUUCGAAGGUACCCGAAAAACCUCACCAGGUCUUGACAUGCUUUUGCAAAGCUGUAGAAAUACAGUGGAGGUUAUCAAAAGCACAGGUGGUGCAUGGUUGUCGUCAGCUCGUGUCGUGAGAUGUUGGGUUAAGUCCCGCAACGAGCGCAACCCUUGUUGUUAAUUGCCAUCAUUAAGUUGGGGACUUUAGCAAGACUGCCAAUGAUAAAUUGGAGGAAGGUGGGGACGACGUCAAAUCAUCAUGCCCCUUAUGACCUGGGCUACAAACGUGAUACAAUGGCUGUUACAAAGGGUAGCUAAAGCGUAAGCUUCUGGCGAAUCUCAAAAAAGCAGUCUCAGUUCGGAUUGAAGUCUGCAACUCGACUUCAUGAAGUUGGAAUCGCUAGUAAUCGCGAAUCAGCAUGUCGCGGUGAAUACGUUCUCGGGGUUUGUACACACCGCCCGUCAAACCACGAAAGUUGGCAAUACCCAAAGCCGGUGGCCUAACUUGAGCAAUCAAGAAGGAGCCGUCUAAGGUAGGGUUGAUGAUUGGGGUUAAGUCGUAACAAGGUAUCCCUACCGGAAGGUGGGGAUGGAUCACCUCCUUUCU